AAACCGCGAUAAGGGGACACCGAGUGCCAGCAUACAAUGCUGGCUGUCCACAUGUGUAAAUAGCAUGUGAUAGCAAGGGCCGGGCAAGACCGGUGCCAGCCGCCGCGGUAACACCGGCGGCCCGAGUGGUAAUCACUAUUAUUGGGUCUAAAGGGUCCGUAGCCGGUUUAAUCAGUCUUCCGGGAAAUCUGACGGCUCAACUGUUAGGCUUCCGGGGGAUACUGUUAGACUUGGGACCGGGAGAGGUAAGAGGUACUACAGGGGUAGGAGUGAAAUCUUGUAAUCCCUGUGGGACCACCAGUGGCGAAGGCGUCUUACCAGAACGGGUCCGACGGUGAGGGACGAAAGCUGGGGGCACGAACCGGAUUAGAUACCCGGGUAGUCCCUAGCCGUAAACGAUGCUCGCUAGGUGUCUGGAAUGGUGCGACCGUUUCAGGUGCCGCAGGGAAGCCGUGAAGCGAGCCACCUGGGAAGUACGGCCGCAAGGCUGAAACUUAAAGGAA
Molecule: ribosomal RNA, 503 nt
Filed under: uncultured Methanosarcinales archaeon
Lineage: Archaea; Methanobacteriati; Methanobacteriota; Methanomicrobia; Methanosarcinales
Description: bacterial SSU rRNA
Rfam family: Archaeal small subunit ribosomal RNA
Source: RNAcentral